RNAcentral lists this long non-coding RNA (1008 nucleotides) under Capra hircus (goat). RNAcentral describes it as "lncRNA (ENSCHIG00000003794.1)". Lineage: Eukaryota; Metazoa; Chordata; Mammalia; Artiodactyla; Bovidae. The record is from RNAcentral.
GUUUCCAGACACAUGAAUAAGAUAUGGGUUGGUCUCACAAAAUAAGCUGAAUUGAGUUUUGACUGUAUGACUGGAUUCAUUUUGACUGCUAGGGGAAUUUUCAAAGUUGAUCUUCAUUUGUUUUUUAUUUCAACAGGCUCUAACUGAACCCCUCCUUCUUGACCUUCUCUGCCCAUAAAGAAACUCACCCAGUGCCUCAAAGGAGGCUGUGAUGUGCUAGAGUUUACAUGUCCCAAAGUGUAAUUCCUCUGUUAUUCCCUCAUAAACUCACUUUUGAACAACAGAGUUUGCAUCAGUUUACCUCUUCAUUUAGUUGAUGGCUCAGUCUAAAUGCACAGAUGGCUCCAAAACACCAAGAACCAUCUCAACAACACAGCUGACUACACUUCGGCAGAUUAACAUUUACCAGUGGCUACAGAGAGAAACCCAGGUGUCCAGAAGACGUUUCAUCUUUUCAGUGUGCCGCUUUCCAUAUUUGAGGAGGCAAGCUUAUCAUCAGUCCUACAAAUCAACCCUGGCACCAGCAACAAAUGUUAGUAGGUGUUGGAAUUGUAUCAGAAGAAGACAGAAAGCUAAAUUCUUGGGAAACAUCCAUUUAUAGCUCAAAUCCAUCUGAGUGGCAGAUGUACAAAAGAACAGAGAAAGGGGACCAAAACUCACUAUAAAAGCAUUCUACCAUGGUGCCCAUACAUUACAUGCUGUACAAAAAAUACUAUAUAACUCUCUAUUGGUAUAGUCAAUUUUUUUUGUUACUUCAUCUCUUAUUUAUUUCAAACCUGCUACCCAUAUGUACUUUCUCUUCUGUUUGUCACUUGCUAUUCUCCUCAGUUAUCACAACCGUUUAGUUAAGGAAUCUCUGAUCUUCUACAAGGGGUGAGGAAGAGGCAGAAAGCCAGGUACACAGUCUCAAAACUUAUUGAAGAACCUUCUCCUUAGGGAAAAACCCUGUUUAAAAUAAAUACUUUAUUUCAUGUGUCUUGCUGUGUUGGACUGUGUGGUAAACAUAAC